UGGGGAAUAUUGCACAAUGGGCGCAAGCCUGAUGCAGCAACGCCGCGUGAACGAUGAAGGUCUUCGGAUCGUAAAGUUCUGUUGCAGGGGAAGAUAAUGACGGUACCCUGUGAGGAAGCCCCGGCUAACUACGUGCCAGCAGCCGCGGUAAUACGUAGGGGGCUAGCGUUAUCCGGAUUUACUGGGCGUAAAGGGUGCGUAGGUGGUCCUUCAAGUCGGUGGUUAAAGGCUACGGCUCAACCGUAGUAAGCCGCCGAAACUGGAGGACUUGAGUGCAGGAGAGGAAAGUUGAAUUCCCAGUGUGGCGGUGAAAUGCGUAGAUAUUGGGAGGAACACCAGUAGCGAAGGCGGCUUUCUGGACUGCAACUGACACUGAGGAACGAAAGCGUGGGUAGCAAACAGG
RNAcentral lists this ribosomal RNA (403 nucleotides) under Verrucomicrobiota bacterium. RNAcentral's name for it is "Verrucomicrobia bacterium partial 16S ribosomal RNA". It matches the Rfam family "Bacterial small subunit ribosomal RNA", at positions 355 to 776 of the family's 1533-position model. The record is from RNAcentral. Lineage: Bacteria; Pseudomonadati; Verrucomicrobiota.